This 253-nucleotide ribosomal RNA is filed under the name uncultured bacterium. Its description in RNAcentral is "partial 16S ribosomal RNA". It matches the Rfam family "Bacterial small subunit ribosomal RNA", at positions 524 to 776 of the family's 1533-position model. The record is from RNAcentral.
CACGUAGGGCGCAAGCGUUGUCCGGAAUUAUUGGGCGUAAAGAGCUCGUAGGCGGUCUGUUGCGUCCGCUGUGAAAACCCGGGGCUUAACCCCUGGCUUGCAGUGGAUACGGACAGACUAGAGGUAGGUAGGGGAGAAUGGAAUUCCCGGUGUAGCGGUGAAAUGCGCAGAUAUCGGGAGGAACACCGGUGGCGAAGGCGGUUCUCUGGGCCUUACCUGACGCUGAGGAGCGAAAGCGUGGGGAGCAAACAGG